This 1369-nucleotide ribosomal RNA is filed under the name uncultured bacterium. RNAcentral's name for it is "16S ribosomal RNA". It matches the Rfam family "Bacterial small subunit ribosomal RNA", at positions 28 to 1378 of the family's 1533-position model. The record is from RNAcentral.
GAUGAACGCUGGCGGCGUGCCUAAUACAUGCAAGUCGAGCGAACGGACGAGAAGCUUGCUUCUCUGAUGUUAGCGGCGGACGGGUGAGUAACACGUGGAUAACCUACCUAUAAGACUGGGAUAACUUCGGGAAACCGGAGCUAAUACCGGAUAAUAUUUUGAACCGCAUGGUUCAAAAGUAAAAGACGGUCUUGCUGUCACUUAUAGAUGGAUCCGCGCUGCAUUAGCUAGUUGGUAAGGUAACGGCUUACCAAGGCAACGAUGCAUAGCCGACCUGAGAGGGUGAUCGGCCACACUGGAACUGAGACACGGUCCAGACUCCUACGGGAGGCAGCAGUAGGGAAUCUUCCGCAAUGGGCGAAAGCCUGACGGAGCAACGCCGCGUGAGUGAUGAAGGUCUUCGGAUCGUAAAACUCUGUUAUUAGGGAAGAACAUAUGUGUAAGUAACUGUGCACAUCUUGACGGUACCUAAUCAGAAAGCCACGGCUAACUACGUGCCAGCAGCCGCGGUAAUACGUAGGUGGCAAGCGUUAUCCGGAAUUAUUGGGCGUAAAGCGCGCGUAGGCGGUUUUUUAAGUCUGAUGUGAAAGCCCACGGCUCAACCGUGGAGGGUCAUUGGAAACUGGAAAACUUGAGUGCAGAAGAGGAAAGUGGAAUUCCAUGUGUAGCGGUGAAAUGCGCAGAGAUAUGGAGGAACACCAGUGGCGAAGGCGACUUUCUGGUCUGUAACUGACGCUGAUGUGCGAAAGCGUGGGGAUCAAACAGGAUUAGAUACCCUGGUAGUCCACGCCGUAAACGAUGAGUGCUAAGUGUUAGGGGGUUUCCGCCCCUUAGUGCUGCAGCUAACGCAUUAAGCACUCCGCCUGGGGAGUACGACCGCAAGGUUGAAACUCAAAGGAAUUGACGGGGACCCGCACAAGCGGUGGAGCAUGUGGUUUAAUUCGAAGCAACGCGAAGAACCUUACCAAAUCUUGACAUCCUUUGACAACUCUAGAGAUAGAGCCUUCCCCUUCGGGGGACAAAGUGACAGGUGGUGCAUGGUUGUCGUCAGCUCGUGUCGUGAGAUGUUGGGUUAAGUCCCGCAACGAGCGCAACCCUUAAGCUUAGUUGCCAUCAUUAAGUUGGGCACUCUAAGUUGACUGCCGGUGACAAACCGGAGGAAGGUGGGGAUGACGUCAAAUCAUCAUGCCCCUUAUGAUUUGGGCUACACACGUGCUACAAUGGACAAUACAAAGGGCAGCGAAACCGCGAGGUCAAGCAAAUCCCAUAAAGUUGUUCUCAGUUCGGAUUGUAGUCUGCAACUCGACUACAUGAAGCUGGAAUCGCUAGUAAUAGUAGAUCAGCAUGCUACGGAGAAUAAGUUCCCGGG